Molecule: ribosomal RNA, 501 nt
Filed under: uncultured bacterium
Lineage: Bacteria
Description: partial 16S ribosomal RNA
Rfam family: Bacterial small subunit ribosomal RNA
Source: RNAcentral
AUUGAACGCUGGCGGCAGGCUUAACACAUGCAAGUCGAGCGGGGAAGGGUAGCUUGCUACCUAACCUAGCGGCGGACGGGUGAGUAAUGCUUAGGAAUCUGCCAUUUAGUGGGGGACAACAUUCCGAAAGGAAUGCUAAUACCGCAUACGUCCUACGGGAGAAAGCAGGGGAUCUUCGGACCUUGCGCUAAAUGAUGAGCCUAAGUCGGAUUAGCUAGUUGGUGGGGUAGAGGCCUACCAAGGCGACGAUCUGUAGCGGGUCUGAGAGGAUGAUCCGCCACACUGGGACGAGGACACGGCCCAGACUCCUACGGGAGGCAGCAGUGGGGAAUAUAGGACAAUGGGCGGAAGCCUGAUCCAGCCAUGCCGCGUGUGUGAAGAAGGCCUUAUGGUUGUAAAGCACUUUAAGCGAGGAGGAGGCUACUUAGAUUAAUACUCUAGGAUAGUGGACGUUACUCGCAGAAUAAGCACCGGCUAACUCUGUGCCAGCCGCCGCCGUAA